This 258-nucleotide ribosomal RNA is filed under the name uncultured bacterium. RNAcentral describes it as "partial 16S ribosomal RNA". It matches the Rfam family "Bacterial small subunit ribosomal RNA", at positions 96 to 354 of the family's 1533-position model. The record is from RNAcentral.
UGGCGGACGGGUGAGUAACGCGUGGGUAACCUGCCUUACACAGGGGGAUAACACUUAGAAAUAGGUGCUAAAACCGCAUAAGCGCACAGCUUCGCAUGAAGCGGUGUGAAAAACUCUGGUGGUAUACGAUGGUUCCGCGUCUGAUUAGCUAGUUGGUGGGGUAAUGGCCUACCAAGGCAACGAUCAGUAGCCGGCCUGAGAGGGUGAACGGCCACAUUGGGACUGAGACACGGCCCAAACUCCUACGGAAGGCAGCAG